UUGGCCUCGAAUCAGGUAGGGAUACCCGCUGAACUUAAGCAUAUCAAUAAGCGGAGGAAAAGAAACCAACAGGGAUUGCCUUAGUAACUGCGAGUGAAGCGGCAAGAGCUCAAAUUUGAAAUCUGGCGCCUUUGGCGUCCGAGUUGUAAUUUGGAGAGGCAUCUUCGGGUGCGGCGCCGGCCUAAGUUCCUUGGAACAGGACGUCAUAGAGGGUGAGAAUCCCGUUCUCGGCUGGCUGUCCGCGUCCAUGUGAAGUGUCUUCGACGAGUCGAGUUGUUUGGGAAUGCAGCUCAAAAUGGGUGGUAAACUCCAUCUAAAGCUAAAUACUGGCGAGAGACCGAUAGCGCACAAGUAGAGUGAUCGAAAGAUGAAAAGCACUUUGAAAAGAGAGUUAAAAAGUACGUGAAAUUGUUGAAAGGGAAAGCGCUUGAGACCAGACUCGGCGGGAGGUAUUCAUCGUCCCUUCUGGGGCGUGCACUUGCCUCUCGUCGGGCCAGCAUCGGUUGCGGCGGCGGGAUAAAGACCCGGGGAACGUGGCUGCUCUCGGGCAGUGUUAUAGCCCCGGGUGUCAUGCCGCCUGCUGCGACCGAGGACCGCGCU
This 600-nucleotide ribosomal RNA is filed under the name Desmazierella acicola. RNAcentral's name for it is "eukaryotic LSU rRNA". It matches the Rfam family "Eukaryotic large subunit ribosomal RNA", at positions 1 to 601 of the family's 3401-position model. Lineage: Eukaryota; Fungi; Ascomycota; Pezizomycetes; Pezizales; Sarcoscyphaceae. The record is from RNAcentral.